RNAcentral lists this ribosomal RNA (253 nucleotides) under uncultured bacterium. RNAcentral describes it as "partial 16S ribosomal RNA". It matches the Rfam family "Bacterial small subunit ribosomal RNA", at positions 524 to 776 of the family's 1533-position model. The record is from RNAcentral.
UACGAAGGGGGCUAGCGUUGCUCGGAAUCACUGGGCGUAAAGCGCACGUAGGCGGAUUGCUAAGUCAGGGGUGAAAUCCUGGAGCUCAACUCCAGAACUGCCUUUGAUACUGGCGACCUUGAGUCCGGGAGAGGUGAGUGGAACUGCGAGUGUAGAGGUGAAAUUCGUAGAUAUUCGCAAGAACACCAGUGGCGAAGGCGGCUCACUGGCCCGGUACUGACGCUGAGGUGCGAAAGCGUGGGGAGCGAACAGG